GCAAGUCGGACGGCAGCACAGAGAAGCUUGCUUCUUGGGUGGCGAGUGGCGAACGGGUGAGUAACAUAUCGGAACGUACCGAGCAGUGGGGGAUAACUAAUCGAAAGAUUAGCUAAUACCUCAUAUAUUCUGAUGAAGAAAGCUGGGGAUCAUUUGGCCUUGCGCUGUUUGAGCGGCCGAUAUCUGAUUAGCUAGUAGGUGGGGUAAAGGCCUACCAAGGCGACGAUCAGUAGCGGGUCUGAGAGGAUGAUC
This 252-nucleotide ribosomal RNA is filed under the name uncultured bacterium. Its description in RNAcentral is "partial 16S ribosomal RNA". It matches the Rfam family "Bacterial small subunit ribosomal RNA", at positions 57 to 305 of the family's 1533-position model. The record is from RNAcentral.